UACGUAGGGUGCGAGCGUUAAUCGGAAUUACUGGGCGUGAAGCGUGCGCAGGCGGUUCUGAAAGUCAGGUGUGAAAGCCCCGGGCUUAACCUGGGAAUUGCGGUUGAAACUACAGGGCUAGAAUCUGGCAGAGGGGGGUGGAAUUCCACGUGUAGCAGUGAAAUGCGUAGAGAUGUGGAGGAACACCGAUGGCGAAGGCAGCCCCCUGGGCUGAGAUUGACGCUCAGGCACGAAAGCGUGGGGAGCAAACAGG
RNAcentral lists this ribosomal RNA (253 nucleotides) under uncultured bacterium. RNAcentral describes it as "partial 16S ribosomal RNA". It matches the Rfam family "Bacterial small subunit ribosomal RNA", at positions 524 to 776 of the family's 1533-position model. The record is from RNAcentral.